AUUGAACGCUGGCGGCGUGCCUAACACAUGCAAGUCGAGCGGUAACAGGUGUAGCAAUACAUGCUGACGAGCGGCGAACGGGUGAGUAAUGCUUUGGAAUCUCCCCAGUAGUGGGGAAUAACCAGUCGAAAGAUUGGCUAAUACCGCAUACGUCUGUAAAGGGAAAGCGGGGGACUCGCCUCUUCUUCGGAAGAGAGGCCUCGCGCUAUUGGAUGAGCCAAAGCGGAUUAGCUAGUUGGUGGGGUAAUGGCCUACCAAGGCGACAAUCCGUAGCUGGUCUGAGAGGACGACCAGCCACACCGGAACUGAGGCACGGUCCGGACUCCUACGGGAGGCGGCAGUGGGGAAUAUUGGACAAUGGGGAACCCUGAUCCAGCGACGCCGCGUGUGUGAAGAAGGCCU
This 402-nucleotide ribosomal RNA is filed under the name uncultured bacterium. RNAcentral's name for it is "bacterial SSU rRNA". It matches the Rfam family "Bacterial small subunit ribosomal RNA", at positions 30 to 417 of the family's 1533-position model. The record is from RNAcentral.